CAUGCCUGAACCCAGCUACGCUUCACUGUGAGUCCUGGAAGACCUGCUCCCCGUUUUGCAGGCCUUUUCCCACCUGGCCUGGGAGGGUGGGGCCCUGACUGACUCCAGCUACAAAAGCUGAGGCUGCUGAAGAGACCAGGGAUCAUCUUGGCUGUCUCUCAGUGCAGACCCAGGUCACUGAGCCUGAGCUUCCACUGCAGUCGCCCACCAUGAACCACCAUGGGCAGGAAUGGCAGCAAUGGCAGCAGACACAUUCUAUGCUUAUGGCAAUGACCAGGUCCUGCGUGAUGUGUCGGUGGCUCCCGAUCCUCACUUUCCAAACCUCGAGCGAAUGAAGGAGCUCCCG
This 346-nucleotide long non-coding RNA is filed under the name Podarcis muralis (Common wall lizard). Its description in RNAcentral is "lncRNA (ENSPMRG00000002921.1)". Lineage: Eukaryota; Metazoa; Chordata; Lepidosauria; Squamata; Lacertidae. The record is from RNAcentral.